AAAAAGGCCCUUUUCAGGGCCACCAAAUUUAUCAUUAAUCUGUUU
RNAcentral lists this non-coding RNA (45 nucleotides) under Cinara cedri. It matches the Rfam family "Histone 3' UTR stem-loop". Rfam says of the family: The mRNAs of metazoan histone genes lack a poly-A tail. 3' end processing occurs at a site between a highly conserved stem-loop (modelled by this family) and a purine rich region around 20 nts downstream (the histone downstream element, or HDE). Lineage: Eukaryota; Metazoa; Arthropoda; Insecta; Hemiptera; Aphididae. The record is from RNAcentral.